GAUGAAGAACGUAGCGAACUGCAAUAAGUAAUGUGAAUUGCAGAAUUCAGUGAAUCAUCGAGUCUUUGAACGCACAUUGCGCCCCCUGGCAUUCCGGGGGGCAUGCCUGUCCGAGCGUCAUUGCUGCCCUUCAAGCCCGGCUUGUGUGUUGGGUCGUCGUCCCCCCCGGGGGACGGGCCCGAAAGGCAGCGGCGGCACCGCGUCCGGUCCUCGAGCGUAUGGGGCUUUGUCACCCGCUCGAUUAGGGCCGGCCGGGCGCCAGCCGGCGUCUCCAACCUUCUAUUUUACCAGGUUGACCUCGGAUCAGGUAGGGAUACCCGCUGAACUUAAGCAUAUCAAUAAGCGGAGGA
This 350-nucleotide unclassified non-coding RNA is filed under the name soil metagenome. RNAcentral describes it as "partial contains 5.8S ribosomal RNA, internal transcribed spacer 2, and large subunit ribosomal RNA". The stretch from base 1 to 120 matches the Rfam family "5.8S ribosomal RNA", at positions 35 to 154 of the family's 154-position model. The record is from RNAcentral.